Molecule: RNA transcript, 915 nt
Organism: Myotis lucifugus (little brown bat)
Lineage: Eukaryota; Metazoa; Chordata; Mammalia; Chiroptera; Vespertilionidae
Gene name: relaxin-3-like
Exons: 2
Source: RefSeq, a predicted model, not a curated record
GAUUGGACAGUGCUGGGCCCUGCUGCUAAGCUAUUGGUCCUAAAGCACGCUUUUCAACACCCUCUUGACUUUCCGGCGAUCUGAUUAAUCGGCAGGAAUGUCCAUCAAAGGAAACUGAACCCUCAAAGGCAGCAGAGCCCAUCAUUCCCGCAAGGAAGCAGCGGCUAAGAAUCAAGGGGUGGGGCCUAUGGCUUGCGGCUGUAAAACUGCCCUCUGUUUUGACUAAAAGGACGUCAAUCUCCCCUAAAGGUUUGCCGCGCUCUCUAACUGGAGGCCGCGAGCAUGCGCAGCACGCAAGGCUAGCUGGGAGUGGUAGUCCGCUCCUGUGUACUAUAAACGUCUUACCAAAUACAAGGGUGAGGAAGAAGAGAGCGCUCUCUUCAGACGUCUCCUUUCCCCCGUGGGCCCGUUCAUGGCCUCCCGCACUAAAGUCACGAGAGGAAUGCGGUGACGCAGCGCUGCUCGUCUGUGACGCUAGCGGCGGAGGCCGGACUCGGGCUCCAGGCCCAGAAAAGCAGCAAAACAAGACAAGCCACAAGCGAUGCCUUGGCUGACUCAGGACCAGCAGCAUGGACUGAUGACCCCUGCCCUGGGGCCAACCAAUCAGAGACCAGGACCCGGAAAGUACACACCUGGAAAGCUGAUGACUGUUCUAUUGGGAUCCUCCCCUGAGACUUCCAGGUAAACACCCUCAAGAUGAGGACGGGGGGGCAGUAGGCAACUCUCUAUGGAGCACUACUGUGUCUUCCCCCACCCGCUUCCCUCAGGCUCCUUUUCCUUGCCUCUCUCUUUCUCCUAAGCUCCAAGGGCCCUUUUGGCUUUGCAACUUGUUCCCUGAGCGCAUGCAGCUCACUUCUUCGGGCUCACUUGUUCAACAUCUGUGACUUGCUAAAUAAACUUUUCCUUGUAUUUGAA